RNAcentral lists this ribosomal RNA (500 nucleotides) under uncultured bacterium. Its description in RNAcentral is "partial 16S ribosomal RNA". It matches the Rfam family "Bacterial small subunit ribosomal RNA", at positions 28 to 507 of the family's 1533-position model. The record is from RNAcentral.
GACGAACGCUGGCGGCGUGCCUAAUACAUGCAAGUCGAGCGGACUGAUUAAGAGCUUGCUCUUAUGACGUUAGCGGCGGACGGGUGAGUAACACGUGGGCAACCUGCCCUGUAGAUCGGGAUAACACCGAGAAAUCGGUGCUAAUACCGGGUAAUAUCUGAGAUCACAUGAUCUUAGGUUAAAAGAUGGCUCCGGCUAUCACUACAGGAUGGGCCCGCGGGGCAUUAGCGAGUUGGUAAGGUAAUGGCUUACAAAGGCGACGAUGCGGAGCGGACCUGAGAGGGUGAUCGGCCCCACUGGGGCUGAGACACGGCCCCGACUCCUCCGCGAGGCAGCAGUAGGGAAUCUUCCGCACUGGACGAAAGUCUGUCGGAGCAACGCCGCGUGAGUGAUGAAGGGUUUCGGCUCGUGAAGCUCUGUUGUUAGGGAAGAAACAGUACCGAACGAACUAGGUCGGUACCUUGACGGUACCUAAUCAGAAAGCCACGGCUAACUACGUG